RNAcentral lists this ribosomal RNA (497 nucleotides) under uncultured bacterium. Its description in RNAcentral is "partial 16S ribosomal RNA". It matches the Rfam family "Bacterial small subunit ribosomal RNA", at positions 28 to 507 of the family's 1533-position model. The record is from RNAcentral.
GACGAACGCUGGCGGCGUGCCUAAUACAUGCAAGUUGAGCGCUGAAGGUUGGUACUUGUACCAACUGGAUGAGCAGCGAACGGGUGAGUAACGCGUGGGGAAUCUGCCUUUGAGCGGGGGACAACAUUUGGAAACGAAUGCUAAUACCGCAUAAAAACUUUAAACACAAGUUUUAAGUUUGAAAGAUGCAAUUGCAUCACUCAAAGAUGAUCCCGCGUUGUAUUAGCUAGUUGGAGAGGUAAAGGCUCACCAAGGCGAUGAUACAUAGCCGACCUGAGAGGGUGAUCGGCCACAUUGGGACUGAGACACGGCCCAAACUCCUACGGGAGGCAGCAGUAGGGAAUCUUCGGCAAUGGACGAAAGGCUGACCGAGCAACGCCGCGUGAGUGAAGAAGGUUUUCGGAUCGUAAAACUCUGUUGGUAGAGAAGAACGUUGGUGGGAGUGGAAAGCUCAUCAAGUGACGGUAACUACCCAGAAAGGGACGGCUAACUACGUG